GGCUCUGUGGCGCAAUGGAUAGCGCGUUGGACUCCUAAUUCAGAGGUUGUGGUUUCGACUCCCACCAGAGUCG
Molecule: non-coding RNA, 73 nt
Organism: Hippocampus zosterae (dwarf seahorse)
Lineage: Eukaryota; Metazoa; Chordata; Actinopteri; Syngnathiformes; Syngnathidae
Source: the annotation of a RefSeq genome assembly